CAAUAGCGUAUAUUAAAGUUGUUGCAGUUAAAAAGCUCGUAGUUGGACCUUGGACCUGGACAGGCGGUCCGCCUCACGGCGUGUACUGUCUUGCUGGGUCUUUCCUCUUGGUGAUCUGUUGUUUCGGCAGCAGGGAACCAGGACUUUUACUUUGAAAAAAUUAGAGUGUUCAAAGCAGGCUCGACGCCGGAAUAUAUUAGCAUGGAAUAAUAAAAUAGGACGUGCGGUUCUAUUUUGUUGGUUUUUGGAAUCGCCGUAAUGAUUAAUAGGGACAGUCGGGGGCAUUAGUACUCACAUGCUAGAGGUGAAAUUCUUGGAUUUUGUGAAGACUAACUUCUGCGAAAGCAUUUACCAAGGAUGUUUUCAUUAA
RNAcentral lists this ribosomal RNA (370 nucleotides) under uncultured eukaryote. Its description in RNAcentral is "partial 18S ribosomal RNA". It matches the Rfam family "Eukaryotic small subunit ribosomal RNA", at positions 592 to 976 of the family's 1831-position model. The record is from RNAcentral.